CACUCGUCGCGAGUAUCGGAGCGCGAGCAUGUAUCAAAAGUUUUUAUUUUGGCUUCUUGAAUAAUAUUAUCAUAAGUCCGACUUAUCAGAAAUGUGGUAUUCUCUCCUGAAAAGUAGUAACAAACCAUAUCGUCUACGACAUAAAGAAGCAAGCUUCAAAGUUCAAAUUCGACGAGUAAAGCCACCUGAUGCUAACCACGACAUGGGAAGAUCUACGUAAAACUGUCGUAGCUCAGAACGUGGCUCAAGUAGCCGCUCAGGUGGAAAAUGGAAAGUCUUUGGCUGCUGCCAAUACUUUAGACCUUAUACUGAAUGGAUGGGAGUAAGUACGAACAGCGGAAGUAGAGAUUUAUACUUUAUAAAUCGUCGACUAUAUACCACUUUGUGAAUCGAUUCUAGAAUACCAAACUCAUCUUCAGCGUGCUUCGUCAUCCAAUGCGAUGCUGGCACAAAAUUGAUUUCAGCGACCAACGGCUGGUGAUAUAUAAUAUUUAACAAUGAAACAUUGUUAGGUAUAGCUUGUCGACGGAAAUUACGUUUUCAAUCGUUACAAAUGAAACGCGAAUGUCUGCAACAAGGUCAACAGAUCGUACUUCAGCAAGAACUGAAACUUUGGAAAAGUACUAUCAUGGAUACUACCGUGGAUUUUUAUCGGGAAGCAAUGAACAACAUGCGAGUCAAGAAAGUGUAUAUAACAGUUAAGGUCUUGGCUCUAUUUAUACGUUAUCGCAUACUGAAAGAUUUUCUAAGGAAUAUCGACGAUAACAUGGAUAAUACCAUGAAUAAUACCUGGUUAGAUGUACCAUGUAACCAGUAAGUUGUUUAUCCAUCUUCAACAUCGUUCAAAGAACGAUUUUUUAACGUUCAAUACGUUUCUUCUAAAUGACGAUAUAAUCUUCUGAUCUCAUCACAUUUAAUGACAAUAUUGAUUCGACGAACGAUCUCGUAUCGUCGUAACAGUUUUUCGUAGGUUCUAAUACGAUCAAACUUAAGAACGUGCUGACAUGGUUAUAAAUAUGAAUUUGUUCGUGUACACCGAAGAUACUAUGCUCUUUUUUAUUUCCGAUAAAUGGAAAAUCUUAGAAUUUUUCUUCGAGUCACAUUCGUUCGUCGGAAAUUCGAACAUAGAAAUAUCUAGUUUGAACACUACUUUAUUCAUUCUAUGACCGUGUCGAGACUUCAUUGUUGUCGAUUCGUACGGAAAAAUACCGCAAGAUUUUCUCGUUCGCAAGGAAGAUGAGUCACCGAGAGACGAGAGAAUUUCACAGUUCUCGUAACCUCGCCACAGUCGUAAGAUAAACGGGAAACUCGACAUGGAAAUAUGUGAGAGAGCAAAUCUCAGAGCGCCUAGCAACGAAAACAUGAUGAUAGGAUCAACGACAAGAAUCCAAACACGACACCAACGAAAAUACUCGGUGCGAGAAAGCUGCCGUUUUUCUUUGAUGAUACGACUAGCGAUAUCAAGACACGUUACACAUUUUUAUACUACUAUAUUUGCGUAAAAGAAAGAAUCGUAUUUUCCUACUGGUUCUUUCUAAAUAACUCACAUUAAUUGAAACAAAGAAGAAACUAAUCUUUUUUAUGAAUUUCUCUUAUUCGUUAUCGAUAAUACAUAAUUUAUCUUUUGCAUAUA
Molecule: long non-coding RNA, 1633 nt
Organism: Vespula pensylvanica (western yellowjacket)
Lineage: Eukaryota; Metazoa; Arthropoda; Insecta; Hymenoptera; Vespidae
Exons: 5
Source: RefSeq, a predicted model, not a curated record